CCGCUGUGUGUUACAAGUGUCACACGGAACUGCCGGUCAUAAACCGGAGGAAGGUGGGGAGUGACGUCAAGUCAGCAUGGCCUUUAUAUCCUGGGCUACACACACGCUACAAUGGGAAAGGGACAAUAGGUUGCGAAGCCGCGAGGCGGAGCCAAUCCAGCAAAACUUCCCUCAGUUCAGAUUGCAGGCUGCAACUCGCCUGCAUGAAGUUGGAGUUGCUAGUAAACGCAGGUCAGCCAUACUGCGUUGAAUACGUUCCCGGGGCUU
This 267-nucleotide ribosomal RNA is filed under the name uncultured Anaerolineaceae bacterium. RNAcentral's name for it is "partial 16S ribosomal RNA". It matches the Rfam family "Bacterial small subunit ribosomal RNA", at positions 1105 to 1382 of the family's 1533-position model. Lineage: Bacteria; Bacillati; Chloroflexota; Anaerolineae; Anaerolineales; Anaerolineaceae. The record is from RNAcentral.